CCUACGGGCGGCAGCAGUGGGGAAUAUUGUACAAUGGGGGAAACCCUGAUGCAGCGACGCCGCGUGAGUGAAGAAGUAUUUCGGUACGUAAAGCUCUAUCAGCAGGGAAGAAAAUGACGGUACCUGACUAAGAAGCCCCGGCUAACUACGUGCCAGCAGCCGCGGUAAUACGUAGGGGGCAAGCGUUAUCCGGAUUUACUGGGUGUAAAGGGAGCGUAGACGGCAGCGCAAGUCUGGAGUGAAAUCCCAUGGCUUAACCAUGGAACUGCUUUGGAAACUGUGCAGCUAGAGUGCAGGAGAGGUAAGCGGAAUUCCUAGUGUAGCGGUGAAAUGCGUAGAUAGUAGGAGGAACACCAGUGGCGAAGGCGGCUUACUGGACUGUAACUGACGUUGAGGCUCGAAAGCGUGGGGAGCAAACAGGAUUAGAUACCCCUGUAGUC
RNAcentral lists this ribosomal RNA (440 nucleotides) under uncultured bacterium. RNAcentral describes it as "partial 16S ribosomal RNA". It matches the Rfam family "Bacterial small subunit ribosomal RNA", at positions 338 to 795 of the family's 1533-position model. The record is from RNAcentral.